RNAcentral lists this transfer RNA (72 nucleotides) under Camelus bactrianus (Bactrian camel). It matches the Rfam family "tRNA". Rfam says of the family: Transfer RNA (tRNA) molecules are approximately 80 nucleotides in length. Their secondary structure includes four short double-helical elements and three loops (D, anti-codon, and T loops). RNAcentral also lists the same sequence under 2 other names. The record is from Rfam by way of RNAcentral. Lineage: Eukaryota; Metazoa; Chordata; Mammalia; Artiodactyla; Camelidae.
GAGGGUCUAGCUCAGUGGUAGAGUGUGUGCUUAGUAAGCUUGGGGUCCUGGGUUCAAUCCCCAGUACCUCCA